RNAcentral lists this unclassified non-coding RNA (263 nucleotides) under plant metagenome. RNAcentral describes it as "partial contains small subunit ribosomal RNA, internal transcribed spacer 1, and 5.8S ribosomal RNA". The record is from RNAcentral.
UUUCCGUAGGUGAACCUGCGGAAGGAUCAUUAUUGUAUAACCGAGGUGCGAGGGCUGUCGCUGACCCGAAAGGUCGUGCACGCCCGAGUGCCCUCACACACAUCCAUCUCACCCCUAUGUGCACCACCGCGUGGGUCCCCCUUUGGCUUGUUCGGAGGGGGGCUUACGCUUUCACACAAACUUUGUAUGCAGUGUAGAAUGUAUUUUUUGUUUUUGCGAUCACGCAAUCAAUACAACUUUCAACAACGGAUCUCUUGGCUCUC